Long non-coding RNA from Bos taurus (domestic cattle), 2771 nucleotides. Lineage: Eukaryota; Metazoa; Chordata; Mammalia; Artiodactyla; Bovidae. The record is from Ensembl.
UAAAUACAAACAAGUCUUUAUUUUCCUCUGUCUUUUUGAUGGUUACAAGCAAUAGUUUAGGUUAUAAUCAAGUAAAAAUAGUCUGUUAUCAGGUAUACUAUAUAGAGAAGUAGAGACAGGUAGGAAAAAAUCCUCUCUGUACACAGAUAGCAGUGUUUGCACAGUGCUAGAAAAAGGCAAGGCUGGAUGAAGCCAAAAUAGUGGAAGAGGGUGGAAAUUAAUCAAUUCACAGAAAUCCAGAUGUUCUGCAUACUCGGAGCCAAGUCUCUGCAUCCUGACUGCCAGAGAUUUUCAUGUUUCCUCCAGAUGUCUGCUUUCAGAAGUACUGAGAAUAUAAAGACUGCUCAAUAGAUUAUCAUCAGAUCAUUGCAAAGGAGGCAAGCCCUUCCUUCACUGCUUUCCAUGAUUGUCGACCAUGUUCACAAUUAGAGGUUUGAUGUUUUCACUGUGAGUGUUAGAGAGAGAGGUUGGUAUAUAUAAUACAAUGAAGAACUGGAGAUGACGAGAAAAUUGGAGGAAUCGCUUCAGCUGCUGCAGAAGUGAGUCAUUCUGAGUCCAGAAGCUGAUGGUUUGGUUUUAUCCAGAUUAAACAGUACUUGUCAUCAGGAUUCAAUUCAAGCAGAACUCGAUCCUGAGAGCCUACUUCCUCUCAUCCCUUCCAGAACUGACCAUGCACUCACUGGACCAUUAUUAUCAUUCUGUAUAAGGCACUCUGUAAGUGCAGUCUGUUUUUCCUAUUAGACUAGAGGCAAUCUAAGGAUAGAGACCACAACUUUGUCAUCCCUUUAUCCUGAACACAGAGCCCAAUGUCUCAUACAUGAAGGAUUCAAGAACUAUUGUGGAUGGUCCCGUAUUGUCAGAGUCACAAGGUGUGAUGCUGCAACAUGUGAGAAUGGCACCUAGUUCAGCUUCAUGAUUUGAGGAAGGCUGUGGGCUUCCCAUGGCAUCACUGACUCGAUGGGCAUGAAUUUGAGCAAGCUCCAGGAGUUGGUGAUGGACAGGGAAGCCUGGCGUGCUGCAGUCCGUGGGGUUGCAGAGUCGGACACAACUGUGCAACUCAACGGACUGAUGGGCUCCCCUGAUAGCUCAGUUGCUAAAGAAUCUGCCUGCAAUGCAGGAGACCCCGGUUUGAUUUCUGGGUCAGGAAGAUCCGCUGGAGAAGAGAGAGGCUUCCUACUCCAAUAUUCUUGGGCUUCCCUUGUGGCUCAGCUGGUAAAGAAUCUGCCUGCAAUGUGGGAGACCUGGGUUCGAUCCCUGAGUUGGGAUGAUCCCAUGGAGAAGGGAAAGGCUACCCACUCCAGUAUUCUGGCCUGGAGAAUUCCGUGGACUGGAUAGUCUAUUGGGUUGCAAAGAGUCGGACAUGACUGAGCAACUUUCACUCCACUCCAUUCUUUUUCAGAGACAGCAUCAUUAUGGAACAAAACCACUAUGGGCAGUGGAGUUUGGUGGAAUUUGUCUUUGGUGCAAACUCUUGCUUUGUGUGCAAGAAAUCAGUUUACUGAUUCUUUUUUAAGUAAUGCUCAUGCAACCACCAUCUCAGACGGCAAAGAAUCUGCCUGCAAUGUGAGAGACCUGGGUUCAAUCCCUGGGACUAGAAGAUCACCUAGAGAAGGAUACAGCAACCCAUUCCUGGAUAAUUCCAUAGACAGAGGAGCCUGUAGGCCUACAGUCCAUGAGGUCACAAAAAGUCAAACACAACUGAGUGACUACCCUGUCACUUUCACUUUUCUGUUUUCAUGCAACCACCAUAGGUAACCAACGGGGAAAUCGUGACUGAUGAUACAUCCAAAUGGUCAUACCACAAAACAGGACUCAUGCAUAUUACAAUCUAUUUUUAUCAAAGUAUUGGGUGUCUUCUCAGAGGGCAGCAUGACACUGCUGGGAUUAUUAUGAUAUUCAAUAUUCAAUAGUGUUUUUCCUUCCUUGUGCAUGUCUGGGUGGUGAAGAGUUGGGCUUCAUGUUCUGGAGCAGAGCCCUAAAGGACAGCUGCCCACGGCAGCACAUGUGGCAACUUCAGGGCCAUGGAGAGGGGAGACCACAGGGUCCUCUGACAGACCCCCAGAGAUUGACAGCAAUUCUUUAAAGUGUUUACCACCCUGUGUUAUAAAUACUCUCCUGCACCCUCCAGGACGUCAUUGAUUCUGCCAAACAUGAUAGCUUCAGGCAUGGGGGAGAGCUGGAUGGUGGGAGUAGCCUGUGAAAGAGCACAGGUGGCUAGUGGGCUGCCUCUCGGGGGCAUGACCAGUUGGGAACUGACCAUCAGAAGUCAGAAUAGCUUUGUGCAAAAUUGGGACCCUCAGAAGGAUGCUCAUUCAUGUUGGAGAACAGCCCCCAGCUAUCUUCCUCAGGCAGGCUGGAGAUCCAGCUGGUUCUUUGUCCAAAGACAGGAGGCAUCCUGGCAAGUGGGAGACGCUGAGGUUACAGACAGAUGGCUUUUCUCAAAGAAAGUUUUGGGUAAGACUUAAAUAGGCACAGCAUCUCUUCUAAGGGACAGAAGGUUUCAGGGAAGGUCCUACAGGUAGUUACUCCUCUGUCUUUACUCCUAGAUGGAAUCAAGGGCCUCCUGGGCCAAUUUGGGCUCCACGGGCCCACAGAUGCUUAGAGAAGCCCCACGUCGAGUCUGAAGGGCAGACAAAUGAGAAAGGCGUGGGGACAUGGGGACACCAGAGGAAGGGGAAGAGAGAUGAGGGGAUGGACAGUCCCUAGGGUAAGAAGAGAGAAUUGUUCAGGGCACUCUUGGUGGCUCACAUUAAGGUUGAGUCAAUAGGUGC